This 373-nucleotide transfer-messenger RNA is filed under the name Roseateles sp. It matches the Rfam family "transfer-messenger RNA". Rfam says of the family: Bacterial tmRNA, also known as 10Sa RNA or SsrA, is named for its dual tRNA and mRNA-like properties. Its role is to liberate the mRNA from a stalled ribosome. Lineage: Bacteria; Pseudomonadati; Pseudomonadota; Betaproteobacteria; Burkholderiales; Sphaerotilaceae. The record is from RNAcentral.
GGGGCCGACCCGGUUUCGACGUGGGUGCGGAUCCGUAGUAGGGCAUGCCGAGCACCAGUUCGCUCGUAAAACCACUGGAAACAAAGUAACUGCAAACGACUCUACGUUCGCACUCGCCGCUUAAAACCGGAUGAGCUUCUCGACGGUUCGCCAAUGGGCCGUGCCUAGUGCCGCAAGGUGCGAAGCUGAGAAGACACUUACAUUGGCUGGUCGUGCAUCGGGCCACUCGGCGCAGGACAAGAUCUAGUGGCUGGCGUGAAAGGCAGCGUGUCGCUGCGCGGCCUGAACGCGAGAUUCAAAUCAGACGACUAAGCAUGUAGAACUGCGCGGUGAUGGCUUGCGGACGGGGGUUCAAUUCCCCCCGGCUCCACCA